RNAcentral lists this ribosomal RNA (496 nucleotides) under uncultured bacterium. RNAcentral describes it as "partial 16S ribosomal RNA". It matches the Rfam family "Bacterial small subunit ribosomal RNA", at positions 29 to 507 of the family's 1533-position model. The record is from RNAcentral.
AUGAACGCUGGCGGCGUGCCUAAUACAUGCAGGUCGAGCGCACGGACGAGAAGCUUGCUUUUCUGAUGUUAGCGGCGGACGGGUGAGUAACACGUGGAUAACCUACCUAUAAGACUGGGAUAACUUCGGGAAACCGGAGCUAAUACCGGAUAAUAUUUUGAACCGCAUGGUUCAUAAGUGAAAGACGGUCUUGCUGUCACUUAUAGAUGGAUCCGCGCUGCAUUAGCUAGUUGGUAAGGUAACGGCUUACCAAGGCAACGAUGCAUAGCCGACCUGAGAGGGUGAUCGGCCACACUGGAACUGAGACACGGUCCAGACUCCUACGGGAGGCAGCAGUAGGGAAUCUUCCGCAAUGGGCGAAAGCCUGACGGAGCAACGCCGCGUGAGUGAUGAAGGUCUUCGGAUCGUAAAACUCUGUUAUUAGGGAAGAACAUAUGUGUAAGUAACUGUGCACAUCUUGACGGUACCUAAUCAGAAAGCCACGGCUAACUACGUG